GUCUGAUGGAGCAUGCCGCGUGAGCGAAGAAGGGUUUCGGCUCGUAAAACUCUGUUCGUUGAAGAAGAACGGGUGUCAGAGUAACUGUUGACAUCGUGACGGUAUUCAACCAGAAAGCCACGGCUAACUACGUGCCAGCAGCCGCGGUAAUACGUAGGUGGCAAGCGUUGUCCGGAUUUAUUGGGCGUAAAGCGAGCGCAGGCGGUUAUUUAAGUCUGAUGUGAAAGCCUUCGGCUUAACCGAAGAAGUGCAUCGGAAACUGGGUAACUUGAGUGCAGAAGAGGACAGUGGAACUCCAUGUGUAGCGGUGAAAUC
RNAcentral lists this ribosomal RNA (315 nucleotides) under uncultured Lactobacillus sp. RNAcentral describes it as "bacterial SSU rRNA". It matches the Rfam family "Bacterial small subunit ribosomal RNA", at positions 381 to 688 of the family's 1533-position model. The record is from RNAcentral. Lineage: Bacteria; Bacillati; Bacillota; Bacilli; Lactobacillales; Lactobacillaceae.